This 1501-nucleotide ribosomal RNA is filed under the name uncultured Bordetella sp. Its description in RNAcentral is "partial 16S-23S ribosomal RNA intergenic spacer". It matches the Rfam family "Bacterial small subunit ribosomal RNA". Lineage: Bacteria; Pseudomonadati; Pseudomonadota; Betaproteobacteria; Burkholderiales; Alcaligenaceae. The record is from RNAcentral.
GUUGCAUACUUCAUUCGGUUAUGUGCUAAAGUUCGAUCCUGGCUCAAGUUGACAUGCUGGCGGGAUGCUUUACACAUGCAAGUCGAACGGCAGCACUGGGCUGGUCUUGGUGGCGAGAGUGGCGAACGGGUGAGUAAUGUAUCAGGGCAGUGCCUAGUAGCGGGGGAUAACUGCGCGCGAAGCGUAAUAAUACAUACGCCCUUCGGGGGAAAGCGGGGGACGGCCUCGCACUAUUAGAGCAGCCGAUAUCGGAUUAGCUAGUUGGUGGGGGUAACGGCUCACCAAGGCGACGAUCCGUAGCGCUGGUUUGAGAGGACGACCAGCCACACUGGGACUGAGACACAGCCCAGACUCCUACGGGAAGGCAGCAGUGGGGGUGUUUUUGGACAAUGGGGGAAACCCUGAUCCGGCUAUCCCGCGCAUGUGCGAUGAAGCUGUGGGUUGUAAAGCACUUUGGCAGGAAAGAAACGGCACGGGAUAAUACCCCAUUGCAACUGACAGCACCUGCAGAAUAAGCACCGGCUAACUACGUGCCAGCAGCCGCGGUAAUACGUAGGGUGCAAGCGUUAAUCGGAAUUACUGGGCGUAAAGCGUGCGACGGUUCGGAAAGAAAGAUGUGAAAAUCCCAGAGCUUAACUUUGGAACUGCAUUUUUAACUACCGAGCUAGAGUGUAUCAGAGGGGAGGUGGAGAUUCCUGCAGUAGCAGCAGUGAAAUGCGUAGAUAUGCGGAGAGGAACACCGAUAUGGCGAAGGCGGCCUCACCGGAUAGCACUAGCUCAUCCGCAGCGGCGCAAGACAAACAGGAUUAGAUACCCUGGUAGUCCACGCCCUAAACGAUGUCAACUAGCUGUUGGGGCCUUCGGGCCUUGGUAGCGCAGCUAACGCGUAGUUAGCCACGCCUGGGAGUACGGUCGCAAGAUUAAAACUCAAGAUUGUGACGGGGACCCGCACCGGCGUGGAUGAUGUGGAUUAAUUCGAUGCAACGAAAAACCUUACCUACCCUUGACAUGUCUGAAUCCCGAAGAGAUUUGGGAGUGCUCGCAAAGAGAACCGGAACACAGGUGCUGCAUGGCGCGAUAGCUCGUCGUGAGAUGUUGCGGUUCAGUCACAACUGAGCGCAACCCUUGUCAUUAGUUGCUACGAAAGGGCGCUCUAAACCAGACACCGGUGACAAACCGGAGGAAGGUGGGGAUGACGUCAAGUCCUCAUGGCCCUUAUGGGUAGGGCUUCACACGUCAUACAAUGGGUCGGGACAGAGGGUCGCCAACCCGCGAGGAGCCAAUCGAGGCUUGAUCGUAGUCCGGAUCGCGAUCUGCAACUCGACUGCGUGAAGUCGGAAUCAUUAGUAAUCGCGGAUCAGCAUGUCGCAGUUGAAUACGUUGAGUCUUGUACACUGCCCGUCACACCAUGGGAGUGGGUUUUACCAGAAGUAGUUAGCCUAACCGUAAGGAGGGCGAUUACUGCGGUAGGAUUCAUGACUGGGUGAUCGUAACAAGGUAG